GACGAACGCUGGCGGCGUGCUUAACACAUGCAAGUCGAACGAUGAAGCCGGAGCUUGCUCUGGUGAAUUAGUGGCGAACGGGUGAGUAACACGUGAGUAACCUGCCCUUGACUCUGGGAUAACUGCGGGAAACUGUAGCUAAUACCGGAUACGACCCUCGGAGGCAUCUCCUGGGGGUGGAAAGAAUUUCGGUCAAGGAUGGACUCGGGGCCUAUCAGCUAGUUGGUGAGGUAAAGGCGCACCAAGGCGACGACGGGUAGCCGGCCUGAGAGGGUGACCGGCCACACUGGGACUGAGACACGGCCCAGACUCCUACGGGAGGCAGCAGUGGGGAAUAUUGCACAAUGGGCGCAAGCCUGAUGCAGCAACGCCGCGUGAGGGAUGACGGCCUUCGGGUUGUAAACCUCUUUUAGUAGGGAAGAAGCGAAAGUGACGGUACCUGCAGAAAAAGCACCGGCUAACUACGUGUCAGCAGCCGCAGUAA
This 484-nucleotide ribosomal RNA is filed under the name uncultured bacterium. RNAcentral's name for it is "partial 16S ribosomal RNA". It matches the Rfam family "Bacterial small subunit ribosomal RNA", at positions 28 to 523 of the family's 1533-position model. The record is from RNAcentral.